RNAcentral lists this ribosomal RNA (145 nucleotides) under Portulaca pilosa. RNAcentral describes it as "partial 26S ribosomal RNA". It matches the Rfam family "Eukaryotic large subunit ribosomal RNA", at positions 1 to 143 of the family's 3401-position model. Lineage: Eukaryota; Viridiplantae; Streptophyta; Magnoliopsida; Caryophyllales; Portulacaceae. The record is from RNAcentral.
UGCGACCCCAGGUCAGGCGGGGCUACCCGCUGAGUUUAAGCAUAUCAAUAAGCGGAGGAGAAGAAACUUACAAGGAUUCCCCUAGUAACGGCGAGCGAACCGGGAAGAGCCCAGCUUUAAAAUCGAGCGGCGUUGUCGUUUGAAU